Molecule: ribosomal RNA, 234 nt
Filed under: uncultured bacterium
Lineage: Bacteria
Description: partial 16S ribosomal RNA
Rfam family: Bacterial small subunit ribosomal RNA
Source: RNAcentral
UGAGUAACCUGCCCUUAACUCUGGGAUAAGCCUGGGAAACUGGGUCUAAUACCGGAUAUGACUCCUCAUCGCAUGGGUGGGGGGUGGAAAGCUUUAUUGUGGUUUUGGAUGGACUCGCGGCCUAUCAGCUUGUUGGUGAGGUAAUGGCUCACCAAGGCGACGACGGGUAGCCGGCCUGAGAGGGUGAUCGGCCACAUUGGAACUGAGACACGGUCCAGACUCCUACGGGAGCAG